RNAcentral lists this ribosomal RNA (245 nucleotides) under uncultured Bacteroidota bacterium. RNAcentral's name for it is "uncultured Bacteroidetes bacterium partial 16S ribosomal RNA". It matches the Rfam family "Bacterial small subunit ribosomal RNA", at positions 524 to 768 of the family's 1533-position model. The record is from RNAcentral. Lineage: Bacteria; Pseudomonadati; Bacteroidota.
UACGGAGGAUGCAAGCGUUAUCCGGAUUUAUUGGGUUUAAAGGGUGCGCAGGCGGCGCGUUAAGUCAGUGGUGAAAUGUCCCGGCUCAACCGGGGCACUGCCAUUGAUACUGGCGUGCUAGAGUACGGACGGCGCCGGCGGAAUGUGUCAUGUAGCGGUGAAAUGCUUAGAUAUGCCACAGAACACCGAUCGCGAAGGCAGCUGGCGAGGCCGGUACUGACGCUCAGGCACGAAAGCGUGGGGAU